RNAcentral lists this ribosomal RNA (433 nucleotides) under uncultured bacterium. RNAcentral's name for it is "partial 16S ribosomal RNA". It matches the Rfam family "Bacterial small subunit ribosomal RNA", at positions 29 to 507 of the family's 1533-position model. The record is from RNAcentral.
AACGAACGCUGGCGGCAUGCCUAACACAUGCAAGUCGAACGAGACCUUCGGGUCUAGUGGCGCACGGGUGCGUCACGCGUCGGAACCUGCCGUUAGGUUCGGGAUAACACCUCGACAGGGGUGCUAAUACCGGAUAAUGUAUUCUGAUCAAAGAUACAUCGCCUGUGUUUGAGCACGCGUUGGUUUGGCUAGUUGGUAGGGUAAAAGCCUACGAAGGCGACGAUCCCUAGCUGGUCUGAGAGGAUGCUCAGCCACACUGGGACUGAGACACGGCCCAGACUCCUACGGGAGGCAGCAGUGGGGAAUAUUGGACAAUGGGCGAAAGCCUGAUCCAGCAAUGCCGCGUGAGUGAUGAAGGCCUUAGAGUUGUAAAGCUCUUUUACCCGGGAUGAUAAUGACAGUACCGGGAGAAUAAGCUCCGGCUAACUCCGUG